UAGCGGCGGACGGGUGAGUAACGCGUAGGUAAUCUGCCCCAUACACAUGGAUAGCCUAGGGAAACUUGGAUUAAUACCUGAUAAUGCGACUAGUUCACAUGAACCGGUCGCCAAAGAUUUAUCGGUGUGGGAUGAACCUGCGUCUGAUUAGCUAGUUGGUGAGGUAACGGCCCACCAAGGCAACGAUCAGUAGCCGACCUGAGAGGGUAAUCGGCCACAUUGGAACUGAGACACGGUCCAAACUCCUACGGGAGGCAGCAGUAGGGAGUUUUCGGCAAUGGGGGAAACCCUGACCGAGCAACGCCGCGUGAGUGAUGAAGGUCUUCGGAUUGUAAAGCUCUGUUAUAGGGGAAGAAUGACGGAUCUAGGAAAUGAGGUUCGUUUGACGGUACUCUAUUAGAAAGCCACGGCUAACUACGUGCCAGCAGCCGCGGUAAUACGUAGGUGGCAAGCGUUAUCCGGAAUUAUUGGGCGUAAAGAGUGAGCAGGCGGCAGGAUAAGUUUGAAGGAAAAGCGUGGGGCUUAACCCCAUACAGCUUCGAAAACUGUCCAGCUAGAGUACGAGAGAGGUAAACGGAAUUCCAUGUGUAGCGGUGAAAUGCGUAGAUAUAUGGAGGAACACCAGUGGCGAAGGCGGUUUACUAGCUCGAUACUGACGCUCAGUCACGAAAGCGUAGGGAGCAAAUAGGGAUUAGAUAUCCUAGUAGUCUACGCCGUAAACGUUGAGAACUAAGUGUUGCUGUGAGGCAGCGCUGAAGCUAACGCAUUAAGUUCUCCGCCUGGGGAGUACGAUCGCAAGAUUGAAACUUAAAGGAAUUGACGGGACCCCGCACAAGCAGUGGAGCAUGUGGUUUAAUUCGACGCUACGCGAAGAACCUUACCAGGGCUUGACAUAGAGGCUAAAUACUUAGAGAUAAGGAAAUAUAUGUCUCAUACAGGUGGUGCAUGGUUGUCGUCAGCUCGUGUCGUGAGAUGUUGGGUUAAGUCCCGCAACGAGCGCAACCCUUGUCUUCAGUUACCAGCAUUCGGUUGGGGACUCUGGAGAGACUGCCGGUGACAAACCGGAGGAAGGUGGGGAUGACGUCAAAUCAGCACGGCCCUUACGUCCGGGGCUACACACGUGUUACAAUGGCGUGUACAGAGAGUUGGUGCUGGGCAAUCAGCAUCUAAUCAAUAAAACACGUCUCAGUUCGGAUUGGGGUCUGCAACCCGACCCCAUGAAGCUGGAUUCGCUAGUAAUCGCGCAUCAGCCAUGGCGCGGUGAAUAUGUUCCCGGGCCUUGUACUCACCGCCCGUCAA
This 1299-nucleotide ribosomal RNA is filed under the name uncultured bacterium. RNAcentral describes it as "bacterial SSU rRNA". It matches the Rfam family "Bacterial small subunit ribosomal RNA", at positions 93 to 1400 of the family's 1533-position model. The record is from RNAcentral.